GAUGAAGAACGUAGCGAAAUGCGAUACGUAAUGUGAAUUGCAGAAUUCAGUGAAUCAUCGAAUCUUUGAACGCACAUUGCGCCUGCCAGCACUCUGGCAGGCAUGCCUGUUCGAGCGUCAUUUCAACCAUCAAGCCCUAGGCUUGCGUUGGAGCCCUGCGGCUGCCGCAGGCCCCUAAAAGCAGUGGCGGGCUCGCUAUCACACCGAGUGCAGUAGAUUACUCUUCGCUCAGGGCGUGUGGCGGGUUCCAGCCGUGAAACCCCCUACUUCUCAAGGUUGACCUCGGAUCAGGUAGGAAUACCCGCUGAACUUAAGCUUAUCAAUAAGCGGAGGA
RNAcentral lists this unclassified non-coding RNA (334 nucleotides) under soil metagenome. RNAcentral's name for it is "partial contains 5.8S ribosomal RNA, internal transcribed spacer 2, and large subunit ribosomal RNA". The stretch from base 1 to 120 matches the Rfam family "5.8S ribosomal RNA", at positions 35 to 154 of the family's 154-position model. The record is from RNAcentral.